RNA transcript from Oryza sativa Japonica Group (Japanese rice), 2248 nucleotides. It is a transcript of the gene named probable isoprenylcysteine alpha-carbonyl methylesterase ICMEL2, with no coding region annotated. The record is from RefSeq and is marked validated. NCBI's taxonomy places the organism in Eukaryota, Viridiplantae, Streptophyta, Magnoliopsida, Poales, Poaceae.
GCAAGCUGCGAUACUACGCCGGAAGGAAGGAUGCCGAGGCGAGGAGGAAACGGAAGAUUUCGCCAUGUUUUGCCCGCCUCCGCCCACGCGUCCCUUGUUGCCACGCACUACCCGAGUACUCCGCCUAUUUAGGCCCCACCACCGCCACCACCCCCCAACUCUCCCCCUCCGACGGCGUCCACCACCCGACCACCUCCCGCACCGUUGCGAGUUGCGACCCACCCACCCACCCGAACCGAUUCGAAUAUCCCGCACACCGCCCCAGCGCCGCGCGCCGCCCGCAAUGCGGCCCGUCUCCAGCGCCGAGGAGGUCGGCGCGCUCCUCUCGCGGAGCGACUCCUCCGGCCGCCGCCGCCGCUCGUCGCCGGUGCAGUCCGCGUCCCCGCGACCCGCCGGAUGCGGCUGCGGCGGCCCGAGGCGGCAGUCCUCGUUCCGCGACGAUGUCGGGCACGCGGCCUCCGAGACGUACCUCGUCACGCGCCUCACCUUCAGCCUCCUGCAGUACCUCGGGUUAGGUUACCGGUGGAUGUCACAACUACUUGCCCUGACAAUCUAUGCAAUUUUACUUAUGCCAGGUUUUUUGCAAGUUGGAUAUUACUAUUUCUUCUCAAGUCAGGUUCGUAGAAGUAUAGUCUAUGGAGAACAACCAAGAAACAGGCUAGAUUUGUACAUACCCAAAGAUAUCAACAGACCCUGCCCAGUGGUGGCCUUCGUAACUGGUGGGGCUUGGAUUAUUGGUUACAAGGCAUGGGGUUCCCUUCUUGGGAGGCGGUUGGCUGAGAGAGGAAUCAUAGUUGCUUGCAUUGAUUACAGAAAUUUCCCUCAAGGAACAAUAGGUGACAUGGUUAGCGAUGCUUCCCAGGGUAUUUCUUAUGUGUGCAACAACAUUGCUAGUUAUGGAGGUGAUCCUAAUCGGAUCUACUUGGUGGGUCAGUCAGCAGGAGCACAUAUUGCUGCAUGUGCCCUCAUCGAGCAGGCAGUGAAAGAAUCUAGUGGGCAGUCCAUUUCUUGGAGUGUUACACAAAUCAAAGCAUAUUUUGGUUUAUCUGGAGGAUACAACAUGCAUAGUUUGGUUGACCAUUUUCAUGAACGUGGUCUUAAUCGUUCAAUAUUUUUCAGCAUAAUGGAAGGAGAGGAGUCAUUGUCACGUUAUUCUCCGGAAAUUGUUGUCAAGCAGUCAAGUUCCCAGACAAUAGCUCUUCUGCCUCCCAUUGUUCUUAUGCAUGGAACUGAAGAUUAUUCAAUACCAUCAUCUGCCAGUCAAACUUUUGCUGACGUCCUUCAACAAGCUGGUGCUCAAGCCAAGUUACAGUUGUACGAAGGCAAAACACAUACAGAUAUAUUUAUACAGGAUCCUCUUCGGGGUGGAAGAGAUCCAUUGGUUGAAGAUGUAUUGUCUAUUAUUCAUGUUGAUGAUGAAAUUACACAAGAAAAGAUUGCUCUGGCACCAGCUCCAAGGCGCCUGGUGUUUGAGUGGCAAUUACAGCUGGCCCGUCGAUUUAGUCCAUUCUAGUAGAUUUUUGCAGAGGAAUUUGUACAUUAAAUAUCUAACUAAUGCAAAGUACAUAUGUGCAUUUUCUGCCUUAAUGAGGAAAGGAUUAUUGGCGAAGCCAUUGUAGAUGGGAUCAGGCGAAACCUUCAGUGUUUUUUUUUCUCAGUGAUGGAAUCCAAACAGAAUUAACACCAAGUGAAAAAAUAUGAAGCGGAUGUCACAACUGUACCAUCUUAUUUGUAAUAUUCAUCACAUGGGCUGCACACACCGUCAAGACCAGCUUGACUAAGGUUGCUGCUACAUGAUCAAGACAUCACGGGGUGACGAGAGGAAGGGACAGACGGGAUUCAUAAUCCCAUAGCAUAGCGUAAGAUGGAGACCCUCGUACUAUCUCCAUCUCUCCUGUUGCCACUAUCAGUUUUUGGCUGCCGCCGGCUUGCUGCUCUUCACCUGAUUUCACAUGAAAAUAGCCAAAUGACUAAAUCAACACGAAGAAGAGACGCUGCCAAGAAAACAACAGCAAGAUUACCAACAUCAAGUUGGAUUUGGAUCAGCUGCAGUACUAUACCUUCUUCUUGGGCUCCCGGGGCUUCUGCUCAGCCUUCUUGACGCCGCCCUUGGCGGCCGCGGGCUUCGUCGCCGUCUCACUGAGCUUGGCAGCCGGCUCCUUGGCAAGUCCGGCAGGUUUCACGGCCUUCAGAGAAGCCAUUCUUCUGAUGCUUCUCUGCUCUGUUCUGUCCUGACCCUGGGAUAAGG